RNAcentral lists this ribosomal RNA (275 nucleotides) under uncultured bacterium. RNAcentral's name for it is "partial 16S ribosomal RNA". It matches the Rfam family "Bacterial small subunit ribosomal RNA", at positions 76 to 354 of the family's 1533-position model. The record is from RNAcentral.
CAAUACUUUGGUGGCGACCGGCGCACGGGUGCGUAACGCGUAUGCAACCUACCUUUAACAGGGGCAUAACACUGAGAAAUUGGUACUAAUUCCCCAUAACAUUCGAGAAGGCAUCUUCUUGGGUUAAAAACUCCGGUGGUUAAAGAUGGGCAUGCGUUGUAUUAGCUAGUUGGUGAGGUAACGGCUCACCAAGGCAACGAUACAUAGGGGGACUGAGAGGUUAACCCCCCACAUUGGUACUGAGACACGGACCAAACUCCUACGGGAGGCAGCAG